UACAGGGGGGGCAAGCGUUGUUCGGAAUUACUGGGCGUAAAGGGCUCGUAGGCGGCCAACUAAGUCACACGUGAAAUCCCCAGGCUUAACCUGGGAACUGCGUCGGAUACUGGCGGGCUUGAAUCCGGGAGAGGGAUGCGGAAUUCCAGGUGUAGCGGUGAAAUGCGUAGAUAUCUGGAGGAACACCGGUGGCGAAGGCGGCAUCCUGGACCGGCAUUGACGCUGAAUAGCGAAAGCCAGGGGAGCAAACGGG
This 253-nucleotide ribosomal RNA is filed under the name uncultured bacterium. RNAcentral's name for it is "partial 16S ribosomal RNA". It matches the Rfam family "Bacterial small subunit ribosomal RNA", at positions 524 to 776 of the family's 1533-position model. The record is from RNAcentral.